RNAcentral lists this long non-coding RNA (22638 nucleotides) under Marmota monax (woodchuck). The stretch from base 15245 to 15317 matches the Rfam family "tRNA". Lineage: Eukaryota; Metazoa; Chordata; Mammalia; Rodentia; Sciuridae. The record is from RNAcentral.
AGUAAGAGAAGGGGACACACACAAGGCACUUCCAUGGAAGAUUCUAUCCUAAACAGUGCAAGGGGUUAUAUUACAAAGGAACAGGUGAACAUAGCUUCACCCAUGGGGCUGUAGCAAGACACACCCAUGCACAAGACACCGACCCUGGAACCCAAGAAGGGUGAGGAAAGCUCUGCCACAUUUCUGUGACUGAGCACUUCAGCACUGAGCCCGGGAGUGUGACUCAGUCACAUGUGAGGUUGGUUUCCCACAUUGUAUCUAUUGGGAAAAGGUUUAUUUAAAAGAUAAAUAAGAAUUGGGGGUGUUUUAGAAAUUUCGUUCUAGUUUUCUAUUGCUAUGUAGUAAACUGCUUUAAACUUUCAUAGCAUAAACUUUCAUAGCAUAAAAUAAAAGUUCACUAUUUCUCACAGAUCUAUGGGCCCAACGGUGGCAAGAACUCCUAACAAAUUUAUUAUUUUUGUAUUUUUAGAAAAGAUACAGCCAAGUUCUCCCUAAAUUCCUGACAAUUAAUAUUCAAAGGUACCAUUUCUUAUGAUCUCUUUUCCUGCUGUCUCACUUUAGUUAUUUUGGCAGAUUUCACCACCUGUUAUAUCUUUGAGGAGGGAAAACUUUUGAGAAUGAAAAGAGAUCGUGAGUCCCUGUAUCCCAGUGAGUGAUCCCAGAUGCAGACAGACCUUCAGAGAAAGGACUGACCUCCUGACUUCUACUUCUGAAACUAGCCCCCAUUCCUGUUUCCUGGAGAAAAGUUCCUACCCUCCCUGAACUCCAACCUGUUUCCAGAAAACUGGGAAAGGAAGCUGGCCCUAGAUGUUCUCCAUACUUGAAAUUCAAUGCAUUAAAAAAAAAUCAUUUGGCCCUAAAAAAGGGUGAAAUAUUUCCUAAUCUCAUUUUUGCAAAUUUUUUGAAGGUUAGGAAAAUACAUAUGGACAGUUAUAUACUCUAACAUAGAAAUCCACACAGAACCUAAAUUGGUCUUGGAUUUAUAAAGCAUCUGAAAACUUUACAACUGGUAGGACUGUUUUUUGGUAGAAAAUGUCAGUAUAAUAUUUAUUACAAACUAAGAUGAUUUAUAAUGGUUCCUAAUUCUAAAAGUUUGAUUUCGUGUUAAGGUUGAACUUACAUCUGUAGACCAUUUAAAGAUUCUUUUAAAAUACUAAAUUAUACUGUUUUACAGAGCAGGAAGGUAAAAAUUUGAGUAUCACCUUUUUGUGUUGCAAGUCAUUUUGUGGGAAGAGAAACAAGGAGCUGGAGACAUUCUUUUAGGGACGUUAAGCUCUGGUGUGUGUAAAAGGGGAUUGGACCAAAUAAUGAGGUGCUUAGAAAUUACAGUAACUGGGUAGGUAAAGGAACUUGGAUGCUGGUUUGGAGAAUGUAAGGGGCCAUCCUAAUUACCAUCAAAACUUAAAUAAUGACAUCUGCUAAGAAAGACAUUUUGAAUCACUCUACCUGAUAGAGCUAGGUAGACUUUACUAAGUUUUAUCUACAGUCUUCAAUUCAAUGGAAGGCAUUCCCUAGUAAUUAUAGCCCUUGUUCAGAACUGCUGACCCUGAAAUAGUAAAGUUUCUAUUGCUAGAAAUAUCAAACAGAAGCCAGAUGGCUCCUUGGCAGAUGUAAAGGCCAGGAACAGAAAGGGCACGAAAGAGGAAGUAUAAAUAAUUCAUAAGCUAAUGGAAAAAUACCCAGCAGCAUGGGCAAACCAGCAAGUGUAAAUUCAGACAUCAGUAAGAUUCCUUUUUUUUUUUUUUGCUUAUUAAAAUUGGUCACAGUAAGAAAAAUAAUUCUCAUGAAGAUUUGGUGAGCAAUCAGUCUCUAGUAUUGUUGGUAAGAAUACAAAUUUGCUCAGACUUCCUAAAAAGCGGUUUAAACAAUGUACAUCAAAAGCUUUAAAACUACUUAAGCCAUACAAUGUGGAUAUUUUAACACAUUAAAGAAUUAUGAAAAGUAUCAGCUAUAUUUAUCUUGUUGUAGUUAAACGAAAAACAAGGAGUAUUUUUAUGUUUUAGAAACAUGCGAAAGUAUAAAUGAAAUACUGAUGUCUAGAAUGAGGUUCAAGAUUAUCUAUUGGGGAUUGACUGGGCCUGCAUGUGGUGUGGAUGGAAAGUGAUUGUUUAUAUGGGGAUCAUGGUGGAAGCUGGGGAAUGGGUAGGAACUGCUUAUCCUCUUCAUUUUUUACAUGAAUAAAGGUUUCCAUUCCUCCCCAAGUGGAUGUGGCCUUCAUUCUAUGGCUAAGACCAAUGAUCUCCAUGCUGCAAAAUGGAGCUGAUAGAAAAUACAGAAAAACUCCGAGAUGCCAGUCUCUCAUAUCAGGCAGCAAGUGCAUGGGGCACCCAUGAUCAGGAGGGCACGCGGCAGAACUUUGAGUGACACAGUGUGAUCUGGCUUUUACUCCUUCACUCACAAAUGUGCACUCCAGGGAUGCUGUCUCCAGCUUCUGGCCUGAGGCAAUGAUGUAGGUGAAGGAUGGACCUUGCUGUGCCAUCCUUAUUAGUUUCCAGAGCCCAAGAGUCCACUUCCUGGCUGGCUCAUUUUCAGAAUCUCGACAGUGGAAAUAAGAGGCAGUAGGGAAAGUGUCUUUCUUUUCUAAACUCUACUGCAAUUUCUGGUAGUCAACAUAAUCAUGCUGGCUCAUUUUUUACAAUCCUUCCCAGAAUGCCCCCCACACACACAUUUUGGGUUUGUGUGAUUGUGUAUCAAAAUUAAUUUACACAUUCUGGGUAAAAAUUCUACCUAGAUGAUUGUAGGAGACACAGGUGCCUUUUUAUCCUCCCCCAGCCCUUACCCCAUGCCACAUACCAUAAUGUGACAUACACAGAGGCAACACUGUGAGCCUCCGCCUCUGAGAACCUCUGAACCCUUACUUCUUUAUUUUUAGCAAAAAAAAAUGGUAUCUAAGCCUAAAUUUGAAGCCUCUUCUUUGGGUUAUCCAUCUCCUGGGUUUCUCCCUUGUAUACAUGAGAUUUGCAUGCUAGUAGAGUUCUGGUUUCCUCUUAAUCUGUACUUUGUUACAGGGGUCCCAACAGAGUACCUAGAAGGGUAGAAGGCAAAAAAUUUUCUGUCCUCCUACAAGUUCAAAUGGCAGCUUUUUAAUUCUGUUAUAUUGUGACCAGGCCAGAAAUUCAAAAGUUUUUCUUCUUAAUAAACAAAGAUAUAUACUUUCCACUGACUUGAAUUUUUAAAUUAAACCCCUUAAACUUUGGCUAAAGACCCUAGACAUGCUCACUAUAAAGACCUCAAGGCACUCCAAAAGACCACCCUGAACAGGAAGCCUGUAAUUUGCUUUGAAGAAUUGUGGGGAGGAUUGCAGAUAGGGACAGUUACCCCAGGAAAGAAACAUACAUCAACAAAUGAUCUUCUCAAUAUGGAAAAACUUUCUGCUCAACAGAAUGAUGUCAUUUGCAUCCACUCAUUCAUUUAUCUACCCAUUCAAACAAGAGUUUAUGGAGUCAAGCACUCUUCCAAGCGCUGAGUUAUAGCCAUUAAACUAAACUAACAAAUCAUUACUCUCCUCCUACUACAACAAAACUUUUGCCCUUUUUAAGCAAGUAAAUGUUUGUAGCAGAUUAAAAGAUGUUUCCUUUUGAAAAUGCUCCAUUGCUAUUUCUGUACCUACAGAGAUAAAUAAGAACAUAGGAAGUAAAAGUUCUGGAAGGAUAUGCCAGAAACCUGGUGAUGUUCCCUGCUCCAUGUGGGCUGGUGCUGGUUUCAACAGUUCAUAUAAGUACUCAGUGUUUUCUGAGUGCUGCCUGUGUUUCUGUGUAACCAUGACUUUGUAACAAAGUUACCUGAAAAACAAAAAUACAAGCUCUCAAGAGCUCUGUCCCAAGUGGGCUGGCCUGGAGUUGAGGGGUGAGGAAUAAAGGCAAGCUCCAGUAUUUGCAAGGGGGUGAGGGUUGGCUUGUUUGUUUUGGUUAUUGUUGUUUUGACUAUCUUUAGCUUUAUAUUUAUUGAACAACUGAAGGCAUGGAGGGUUCCUAGAUUAGCUAUGGGAUUACUGAUCUUCUGAACAAAUUCCAGUACGGUGGUGAGGGUGGGGGGUGUUCCAUCUCCAUGGGGGGUUCCAUCUGCCACCCUGGGACCCAUGGAAAGAGUUAAUAUGGACAAAGGGAGAGCAGAUAAGGGGCUGAGCUGAUCUGCCUGGAGAAAUUUCAGGAAUGUCUCCAUCAAAUGCAAAGAGAAGCAUAUGCCAAGAGAAGUGUGGAUGUGGAGAGGAUGUGUUUGAAGUGUUGUCUUUUCUUAGAAGGUGUCUAUCUCACUCAGCAGUGUGCAUGGAGGAAAUGAAUGGAGCACCUCCAUGAUGCCUGGCCAACUGCGGGUUCCUGUGGACAUGCUGGGGCAGCUGCCCUGCUCCCAUGGAGCUCCCGUUCCAGAAAGGAAGGCAAUCCCUGGGCACAGCACAAAUAAGUGAUUAAGAAGGUGUUCCACUUGGAACCAAGCAACACCCUCCAAGGUGUUUGGACAGAAAUAUCACCAAGGAACCCCUUAGAGCAGUCAGGGACACGCCCAUCAAUAUGAGAUGACAGUUAAUUAAAGGAGGAGAUAAAUUUGGCAUUUGCCCAGGAACCACCAGAAACUGAAGUACUGUAUAGAAUUGACUUUGGUUUCUUCAAAAAGAUACAGAUCUUGCCUCCUGUUUCCACUUCCUAGAUCCUGAAAGUGAGCUAACCAGAAAGUGGCUAUUGGUCUGGAGGUUGGAAAAGUUGACUUGGGGGAGAAUAAAUAUUAUUGUAACCUCUGUCUGGCACCAUUAUGAUUCAUUGAAGGAACUCAAAUCAACUACUAAUCAAACCCUGACUACUAUUUUCUGUGUUUCAAGCAAUUGCCAUGGACCAGGAGACAUCUUCCCCAGGAGCCAUGCUUCUCCAUGUCCAUCCAUUAGCAAUCACCAAAAGAAUCCCAGCUCCGUUCUUCUCUUUCAGGUGAAAGGGACCAUUUUGCUUUAUGUUUACCUUUUCCAUGCCCUUCUCAUUCAUAAGUUCCCUUGAUAUCUUUGAAUAUUUGGAAUUUCUUCAAGCAAUUGUUGAGGGUAUUUGAUCACAAUAAUAUCCAGUUUUGAUGUUGUUAGAUAGGAAGUUAGCCGCUCUUUCCAAGUUCCUUAUCAGAAAAAUUGUCACUGGGUUCGAUCAGGAAAUAAUAAUCACAUUCUCCUUGUGUUAUUCCAUCACAAUUUCACAAAAGGAUCAAGUUAAGUAGAACAGAACUUUAGAGGGACGGUGGAGGUAGGGACUUUAGAAAGAUGAGUGAAACGGACUCACAUUGAACAAAGCCAUGGGAUGGCCUUGCAUUAGCCAAGAAUGGUAGUAGCAUUUAUGGGUCCUUGCCAUGUGUCAGGCUAGGAAACAAAUACUUGGCUUGCAUCCUUUCAUUUAAGUCUCACAAAAAUCCUGCAAGACUGGGCAUUCCCAUUUUACGGAGGAAGAAACCAACUCAGAGGAAACAUGGCCCAUGGAUACAUCUAUGGCUAUUAAGAGGGGAACAAGGACUCCAAAGUCUACAGCCACUCCUAAUACUAUGACACACUGAUUUUCCUUUCAUUUGAAUUCAUUAAAAGAAUUAGACCUUUCAUUGAAAAGCCCUACAGCUCAUCUGAUGCCUGCUUUACAAACAGUGUUCCAUGAAGAAAGCCCAUUGUUAUUGGCAUUGGUAAAAUUCGAGCAACAAUAAUAGUGGGAAAAUCUUUAGUUCCAGUAAGGAAUCAAGAAAAGAAUACCUGGAGUAAAUGUUGAAGCAUGGCAAUGGUUUUAAUGAUGAUGAUGAAGAUGUCUCCUGAUAUUUAAAACAUAUAAUACAGAAAGAACAUUCACAAAUAUUUGCAAAUUUUACCAUCCAUUAUUUUGCAAUGUCUGUACCAUGAUAUUUAGAGGUCUGACUACACCUAGAAUUUUUUUUUCUUAAAAAAUGUGAUCAAGAUGGCAGACAAGUAUUAAUGUCUUUGAUAUUAAAAUUAUUUUAAAAUAAUAAAAGCAUGACUCUCAUAAUAGAUGAAAAGAUGUGGACAUUUCAAAAGAGAUAUAUUUAAGUAAUGAUAAUGGCUAAUCUUGAAGAUAAUCAAAGAAAUGCAAAUUAAAAUCUACAAUUCUACCUCCUAUUUUCCCUGUCAAAUUGGCAAUGAUGAAAAAGAUUGAUAGUCCCCCAGUAGAGUAUGGCAAAGUAGGACCGAUAUAUUUCUGAUGAAAAAGAGAUGGAUCUAAUUUUCCUAGAGAGUAAUCUGAAAAUGUUUCGUUAGCCCUAAACAUAGAGAACCUACAUAAGAAAUCACUAGGUAAUAAGAUAUUUUAAAAUAAUAUUUAAUGACAUGAUAAAGUGCCAUAAAAUUAAGUGAAAAAAAUCACAUUAUGAAAUGGUGUUUUGUAAUGAAAAUGCUUUCCCCUACUUCUUGGCUAUAAAUUCCCACUUUCCCUUUCUGUAUUUAGAGUUGAGCCCAAUCUCUCUCCUCCACUGCAAGACCCCAGUGCAUGUAGUGUCUAUCACAAAGAUCCUGAAUAAAAUUGACUUCACUAUACUAUGAUGAGUAUCAUUGAACAGUUUUCUCUCUCACAUUUCAUUUCCUCAUUUCUCAAUUCAUAAUCUGUAGAGACAGGGCUUCUCUCCCUACCUUCCAGGACAAGGUCAACCAUUAUCCCCUAUUGUCCCAAGCAAUGAAAAUUUAUUUUCCUGGAACUCUCUGCUGAAUUUAAAUGUACUCUGUCUGGCAAUUGGACUUGUUCCAUUUAUACAAUGCUCAUCCCUUCGUUCUCUUUGGAUCUCUCUGACCCUAGAGACUUUCUCAUUUUCUGCCCUUUUGUUCAAACAGAAACACAUCUCCACCUUUGUCCAGUGCUUUUCUCUCUGGGCUUUCCUUGCACAAUCUCAAACAAAUUUCCACUUUCAAAUCAUCAUUUCCAGACUGGAUCUGUAAUUUGACUCAGUGUUCCUUCCCAAAGCUGUAUCCAUUUAGCAGUUAAAAAAGCAUAGUUGGAAAGAAUGAAGAAUUUGGAGUAAGAUGUGACUAGGUUGAAACCCAAAUCUGCCCUUUACUCAUUGUGUCAUUAAUAGAAAAUGACUUGAUGUAUUCAACAGCUCAGCUUUCUCACUUGCAAAAUGGGUGUAAUAAUACGAGUUCUUUCAGAUGAAAGAUGUACAGAUUUUAAAAGCUUAGUGUAUUUAAAGCCCUGGUAAAGAGUAAAUGCUCAAUAGAAUUAAUCAACAUAAUUUUUAUUUUCCAAAGAUACUUCAAUCUGAACACAUCCAAAACUGAAGUCAGUUAAUUAUGUUCCUUCCACUCAAGUCACCUGAGCCAGAGACCUGGAAGUCAUUGCCCUCACAGUAGGAAAGACACGUGGAUUCCUGGGCUUCACUUCAGACUUACUAAGUGAGAAUCUCUAGGAAAGGCAUCUGGGAAUUCUGUAGGUUUAGCAAGACCAAGAUGAUUCUUGGCAGAGAAAGUUGGAAAACCUGUUAUUCCCCUCCCUUUCCUUUUCCUGUGGUCACCUUCACAUACGUUUUCAUCUACCCAUUGUUCUUUGAGUCUACACCACUCUCUCCGUCCCUCCAACUGCACUCCUAAUUUAGGCGCUGGUCUAGACUGAAUCUAAGGUUAAUCCUAACACUACUGGAUGCGGGGUGGGGGGUCCCUGCGAUUUUAUUCUUUCUAUUCUCUCUCCACUGUCCACUGAUUUUCAAGGGACCAGUUGUCCCUCCAUUUGGAGUGGCCUGCUCAGUGUUAUCUGCCUGCUUGGAUGGCUGCAGAUACCACCACCUUCCGGGGGCCUUCAAGACAGGUCUGCAGCUUUGUGACCUACCCUUGUCCCCACUGGCUACUGGAUCCAUGUUUCCUCUUCCUCAUUGGAAAUAUGAUUUAUGAUACUCAUAAAUAAAAAAAAGAAAAAAAACAUGAAAUAGGAUCACUAGUGAGGAAAGGAAAAUGUUGAGCUUAUGCAUAUAUACAUCUUAAAUAAGGUCCCAUUCCCUUCAUCGAUCCAUCAAUAUGCUAUCUAUGAGUGGGAGGAUUUCAUGACUUUUAUAUAUUGUGACUUAAGCUGUUCUAUAGUUUAAAAUAAUAAAUGAGGUAGAGGGGCCAAUUGAAAUGUCAUCUGGAUCUUUCCCUUUCAUUUGUCCUCUCCUCUGACCCUCAUCCCCAUUUCCAGCUCAGUCAAGUUUUGUCAUUAUAGCCUCAAGAAUUCUGGACAGAGCCCGAGGUAGUCAGUGGUAGAGCACUUGCCUGUUAUAUUCAGGACCCUGGGAUCAAUUCCCAGCAUGUACACUCACGCGCGUGUGCACACACACAUGCGUGUGCACACACACACACUCUUCACAAAUUUGACAAAAACACCCACAUUUUAUAACUGACAAAACUGAAAGGGACAAGAUUUUUCAGGGUAUUAGUCUUCAUGGGCUGCUGUAACAGAAUCACAGAUUAAGUGGUGUCAGCAGUAGAAACUUAUUUUCUUAUAGUUCUGGGGGCUGGAAGUCCAAGAUCAAGGUGCCAGGGGAAGACUGGUUUCUCCUGAGGCCCCUCUUCCUGGCUCACAGGUACCAUCCUCUGGGUGUGCUCAAUGGCCUUCCCUCUGUGUGCAUGUGGAAAGGGAGCCGUCUCUCUUCUUGAGGACACUAGUCCUAUUGGGGUCAGGCUCUCCCCAAUGACCUCUUAACCUUAAUUUCCUCUAAACAACCCUACCUGCAAAUAAGUCACGUGGGAGUCAGGGCUUCAAGACACAAAUUUGAGAGCAUAAUUGAGCUGAUGGCACUCAUUGCUUCUCAAACCUCACUAUGUAUGGGGCUCACCUGGUGAGCUUAUUUAACCCACAGGACUGGAUUUGGGGGCAGGGGAAAUGUAGACAUAUACACACUUCCUCAUGCAUUUGGAAAGAUAGCAACAAAUAUGCUAAUGGCAGUCACCAUUAAGGAGUGGCCAGAAAAUGACUGUUUAUCAUACACCCUGUUGGAUUUUUAAAUACAUACCAUGUGAACAUAUCACCUUGAAAACAUUAAAUCAUAUAGUUUUCUCCUGAAAUUUUAAUAGAAAUGCUAAUUCCAACCAAUUUCUCAAUUAACUUAUCCAUGUUAUUAUUAUUUAUUUAUUUAUUUUUACUUUUUCCCAAGAGUCGAGUUAGUGUGCAAUUUGGGUAGACAGCAGAUUGCAAAACGGCUGUGCCCAUGUAAAACGUGGGCAGCACCAUGUAAAGCGAGGUGCUCGAAGAGUUCAAAGUCAGGAAUUUGAAAGAUAGACAUGCUGCAAGCUUCCUGUAAGUACUUGGGUGUUUGAGACUUGUUAGCUUGUGAUCCACCCGUCGUGUGGAUGGAUCCCCUGGGACACUCUAAGGGGACAAACUAUGUGAGAGUUGUAUCUCCUUCCUGAUGGGGAAGCACUGCUCCCUAACUCAGCAGCUCCUUGAAAGAAGGGAUUCACUGCAGACUCAAGUCCUGGAGGAAGAAUCUGGUUUUGGUCUCUUGUUUUUUUGUUUUUUUAACAGUUUAUUGAAGCAGAAUUGACAUGAUAAAUUGCAUGUAUUUAAAAGGUAUGUAAAAUUGGAUGCAUUUUGACACAUGUAUCUGCCUUGAAACCUCACUGCACUCAAGAAAAUGGACGUCUGCAUGACCUCCCUGAAGCCUGUGCUCCUUGUGAAUCCCCCCUCUACACCCCACACCCUCCCCAGUCCUCACACUUUCUGACUAGCAGUCCAUCAUUGUAUGGCAAGCACAGUUGUUUAUCCAGUCACCUGCUGGGGCAGGCUUGGUUGUUUCUGAUGACCUACGGAUGGUAUUUCAUCUCCUCACAACCGUCAGAGUCACUAUUUCUUCUCAUUUAAAGUCUUCUUAAUGAAACCAAGACUCCAAAAGGCCAAGCAGCUUGUCCAAGGUACAAAGACAGCAUCUGGAGCAUAGAAGCUUCCAUUAUUAGAGUAUUUGAGCUAAAAGAGACUUUGGGCCUCUGUCUCCCUCUCUUCUUCUCUCCCUCUCUCCCCCUCUUUCCUACUUUCAAUGGCUUGGUGCUGAGAUUUGCAUUGUGAGCCACCAGGACUAGCCAUCUCUCUUUAUUCAGGGUAGAGUCAGCAGGUCCUACUCUGUCUGCUAAAUUAUUUGCCCUUUUAUUAACAUUACUUCCUAAUAUGCUUCUGCCAUAGGGAAAUAUUCUGGGAGGCUCUGUGGAACAAGGCAGGCCUGUGUUCCUGCAGAGCAAUGGUCCCCUGGAGACAAUCCUAUAGGCUCCUGGGAGUUGAGUAUUACAUUUUUAGAAGCUAAAUGCAGUUAUUAUACAAAUUGAAAAUAUAAAAUCUCAAUUAAAUAUAUAUUUAAAAUGAAGUUAAAAAUACUAAAAGCUCCUUGAUUCAUAAUCAUGCUGCUCCAUUUUACUGUCACCUGGGCUUCUGAGGUUUUUACCCCUGUCAUCCCUGCUGCAUGUUUGUUCCCAGUUCUACGUUCAGUGGAGUAACGUGGGUAGCCUGAAAUCAGCCUCGAUGAGAGUGUUUACAUCACAAAACUUAAAAUGCUAUAAAUCAAUGUUCAGUUUAACACUAUUUUGCACCUUGUUCCCCCACUGGAUAUAUCAUAUCUCUCUCGAUGAGAGUGUUUACACCACAAAACUUAAAAUGCUAUAAAUCAAUGUUCAGUUUAUCAUUUUUUAUUGUCUAAACUUAAGAACACGAUGGAGAAAAUGUCAAUAAUGUAGCUUCAAUUUUAAAAUGUGUCACAUCUGCAGCUGCUGUGUUCUGCCGCUAGAAUAAAACUGGAAGAAAAUACUCUUUCAGCUUCUGAAAAACAUUACACAAUUCAGCAGAGUUGCUCCCAUCUUUGAUGAAUGAGUUGGGUUUUGAUGUUUAUCUUUAUUGUUUUACUUUCACCUUACUUGUUCACAUAAACAAAAAUAUCAACCAAUAUUCAUAGUGAAACUACUUCGAGGGCCAGGGUUAAACAUUUACUGAUACUAGGAUAACGAGCCUUUGAAAUUAUAAAAACUCCAGACAACUGUAAGGAUUGUUAAUGUCUACAAGACUAGUUUCUGUCUACGCUUCAUGGGAGGUCAAAAACCCAGGAAAACCAGACAGUGAAAUUAGAGUUUCUGAUAUAAAAUAUCUUCUAUAUUUUAAAUUUGAUGCAAUUAAAAUAGACAAUUCAAUAAAAUGGUUCAAAAGGUAUACUGUGAAAAUCUCCCUCCUACCAGCAUGCCUCGACCCUGGGAGAACUUCUCCUCUGAGAUAGUCUGUACAAAAGCAAGCAUGUGGCCUAUUUUCCCCCAGCCAUAUCAUUUUGAAUAUAAAUUGGGCUCUAAAAUACUUUAACACUGUUUUGCACCUUGUUCCCAACUGGAUAUAUCAUAUCUCCCUCUCUCUCUGUCAGAGUCAUGGCUGCACAAUAGAACUGUGGAUGGAUGUUGCAUCAUUUACUUACCUACUAUUUAACUAUAAUGCAGAGGCUUUGUAAUGGGUUUAAAUAAGAUUUAAUUUUACCCCAUGGCUUUUGGUUAUCACAUAUCAGCUCUAAUACUGUUGUGGUUCAUUGUCUCUCCAUAAUGAAGUGUAGAAAGUAAAUUAAUUCAUGUGAAGAUUACACACACUUACUGAAUACCUACUAAGUGACUUGCAUUGUGAGGACUGUAAUAUUUUAAAUCAAGGAUUAGUCUUAGUACUCUUACUAUCUGGCUCAAAACUAAGGAAAUAAGAGCUUAAGUAUGUCCUUGAUAGUAGCCUAGGAACUGCCACAAAACCUCACCUAAAUUGGCUUUUGACUUGGGAAUAAUUAUUUAAUCUUUAUUAACUUUUGUAUGUUCAUCUCUAAAAUGAGGACCACUCUCCUACCUCAACCAUCUCUGGGCUGAUUUAAGAUCAGAGCGGAUGGUAUUUACACACAUUAAAGAGCUUCACAUAUCUACAUGCACAUCACCUGUCCUGCCUUAGCUAGUCUACAUUGGGUCCAAUCAUGUCAAACUCACCUGUGCUGGGACCCUCCACAUCUAGGUGUCUGCAUGGGCUUUGUGCCUCUGCUUGGGAUGCAUGACCACCAUAGCCCUCUCUCCCAGCCACCAAUCCCCACCCUCCUUCAGCUCCCACUUCCCUGACCUCCCAAGUCUGGAUCAGUUGUCCUUCCACAUUGUCCUCAUUGGAGCAGGACCACUGCCUAUUCAUGGAAGAGGAAACGGUUGAUGUCUCAUUCACAAUUGGAUUCUAAGCUCUUAACAAAUAUCUAGGGAAUGAGUGAAUGAAUAGAUUACCACCAAGGAAAUAAGAAGGGAAAAAAACAAAUUGUAUAUACCAAGGUCAGGAAGACCUUUGCCUCCACUAUGAGAUAGGAAUUGCUACCCCCUUUUUAUAAGCAGGAGUCAAGUGAUGUUGGUACCCAGUGCUGGAAGAUCCAAAUACCUAUCUCCAGAGCACCACUCCAUUUUUCUUAGGAGCAUGCUGCCCCCCAGUGCAAUGGCAAACAUUGAUUGGCAGUUACUAUGACCAGCCAUAGGGCUCUAUCAUUUAUUCAGACCUCUCUACUAGCUCUAGAUAGAUGGUGUCACCAUUGGGCUGGGGAUAUGGCUCAUUGGUUAAACACCCUUGGGUUCAAUCUCCAGUACAAAGACAAAAGGGUGGGGCAGAGAAGCUCAAGUUCAAGAAUUAUAAGAACAUAAAAUGUAGAGGUCCGGUGUUAUGCAGAACCUGGAAAAGGAGUGUCUCAGAAGUUAGAUUUUAAGGUAAACUGGAAUGUUUUUGAAGUGACAUGAUGAGGGUGUGCUUGAUUUUUCUUUUCUUCUUUUUUUUUUAAUGAAUUGUGUUUGAUUCAUCUAACUUUCUGGAAUAUUUAACUUUAACUAAAAUGUCUGAUUUUUUCCUUAUUAGCAAUCCCAACCCAUCUGUCGCAGAUUUUCCACUUCUGAGAGUCAGAAACCAUGAGAAAUGGAAAGUGCUAAGACACCUCUGAACUCUGCUAUUUCAGGGUGGAGCUGGACACACCAUUCCACACAGUGAAAGGAGAAUUUUCCAAGUUUUUGUAGUUGAGAAAACACUGGAAUCUCAUGUGAUUUGUGGAGCAAGACCUUUGGGAUCAAACGGCUUAGGAGGGAAACUGCGAAUUUUUCCAACUUUCCUUAAUUGUUUUCAAACUCAGCUUAAAAACUGCCCCUGAGGAUCCACAAGUUUCCACACUUAAUGUUUUCCCUCCUCUCUAGCCCUGGAGGCUGGCUCUUUGAAAACACCUUUUUGCCAGCAUUUUCAAAGCAGAACUUUCUUUGGACCUCGCCUUUCAUUGGCGUUCUCGCGCCGGUCCUUCUGCCACACCGGACCAGCGCAGGAAGGGCACACCUGGCCAGCACCUGCUCUUUAGUUGGCAAGGCACUCGGGGCAUGUGACUGACACAUACCAAACACUGAGAAUCAGAGUUUCUCAGGCUCUUCUCAUGGCAGAGCCAUGUGCACCAAGGGCAGCCUUUUUCCAGGAUUGUGUGCAUUUUUAAAAAAUUUACUUCUUAAAACGUAGAAGGCCUCAGGGCCAGCAGGGACCAAGCAUUCAUGCCCUGAGACAUAAAUUAAACAAAGGGGUUCCCAGGUGGCUUCGCCACACCAUUUCAGCCCCAACCAGCAAGUGUCUGAGACACAGGCCUAACUAGGGGGACCACAAAAAUUAUCGUACAGGCCAGGCACUUCUAAGAAUAAAAGAUAUUGCUUCUCCCUCUUUUUCCCUCCCACCUCUCCUUCCUAUUUAGUGGUAGUCUUCUUCUCAUGCUCUUCCUCCCUAUCCCAUUUUGAGUCACCCCCCUUAUAUCAGAGAAGAAUUCGGCAUUUGUUUUUUAGGGAGAAGGGGAGUUACAUGGAAGAUGGAAGGAGACCCUCAUCGUUAUACAGAAUACAUGUAUGAUGUUGUGAUGAGAAAAAGAAAAAAAAAAGUGUGUAACAUUAUAUUGGAUAGAGAGAAAUGAUGGGAGGGGAUGGGAGGAGUAGGGGGGAUAGGAAGGGCAGCAGAAUAGAAUAGACAUUAUGAUUGCUGUAUGUAUAUAGGUGACUCUAUGACCAGUGUGAUUCUGCAAUCUGUACAAUUAGAAAAAUGAGAAAUUAUACCCCAAUGAUUCAAAUGUAUGAAUUGCCAAGAUCAUUGUAAUGUCGUGUAACUAAUAAAAAAAAAGAUAUUGCUAAAAAUAAUUAGAACCACAGUAUAUAGUUUUAAAAAAAUGUUUGUUGAAUCAUUAAUUCAUUAUAUUGUAAUUGAACUUACAAGAUAGUUUUAUUCAAAAGCUAUUUUAAAAAGUAAAAUUGUAUCAGGCAUGGUGGUGGGUGGUACACAACCAUAAUCCCAGUGACUUGGGAGGCUGAGGCAGGAGAAUUCCAAGUUUGAGGUUAAUCUCAGCUACUUAGUCUCAAAAGCAAAAAUAAAAAAGGCUGAGGGUGUAACUCAAUGGUAAAGCACCUCUUGGUUCAAUCCCCAGUACCAAAUAAAUAAAUAAGUAAGUUUGUUUCUAAAAGUAAAAGUAGCAUAUUCUUAUACAGUAAGACAAAAUUUUUAAAAAUUAAACAAAAAUAUUGAUUCUUGAACAUAAAAAUACAAAGAAGGAUGGGGCUGGGGCUGUGACUCAGAAGUAGAGCCCUCGCCUAGCAUGUGCGAGGCACUGGGUUCAAUCGUCAGUACCACAUACAAAUGAAUAAAUAAAUAAAAUAAAGGUACUGUUUCCAACUACAACUAAAAAAAUUAAAUAAAUAAAUAAAUAAAGACAAAGAAAGAUAAUAUUUUUGGUACAUAGUAAUAUACUUUAAUAAGUUUCUUAGAUUAACUCUGUCUCCAAUAACAUCAUGGGUACUUUUUCUGAAAAUUAUCUUUUCAGUAGGGUCUUUUUAUUUUUAAUUUUUAAAUAAAAGUAACUGAAACCACCUUCAAAUUUGUAUUGUAAUGAAUUUGAAAUUAUUAGCACUUUUUUAUCUUUACAAUUUAAAUAGAAAAAUAAAAAAUUUUAAGGUCUAGAUAAUCCCUGAUAAGCUCACAGAAAAUUCUAAGAAAAAAAGAGUUUUUUUAAAAAUUAAUGUUUUAAAAUUUAUAUGUGACAGCAGAAAUGCAUUAUAUUUUUUGUUACACAUAUAGAGCACAAUUUUUCAUAACUCUGGUUGUAUACAAAGUAUAUUCACACCAAUUGUAAGAGUUUUAACUCUAAUUUUAUUUAUUUAUUUUGGGGGGUAUUUAAAUGUGUAAAUGUUUUAAUUCAAAUAUUUCCAUAGGUAGUUUCUUUUGACUAUCAAUUUCAUAUCUUUGUUUGACACAUUUUUUUAAAGGAAAGAAACAUCAAAAAUUCCCCAUAACAGGCUGGGGCUGUAGCUCAGUUGGUAGAGUGCUUGCCUUGCAUGCACAAGGUCCUGGGUGUGAUCCCCAGCACCACAAAACAACAACAACAACAACAAAAAAAACCACUCCAUAAUAUGAUUCUUUAGAACUUUAAACAAAUAUAGAUGCUGCAAAAUAUAGGUGUUUUCAAUUUCCUUUUUAUUGUUGUAUAGGAAUUAUUAUACAAUUAAAAAUAAGGAAUGUAUCAAAUAUUUCUUCAUAUAAGUCUAAAUAGCCCAAAGAGCAAUCACAGACUUUAAAUUUAAAUCUUAUAAUCCAUUUGAAUUCUCACUUCUUAUUUUUUUUCAGUUCUUCACUUGCUUUUAUUUGGUGUGAUUUCAAUAUCUUCUUGGUUACAAGCUUUCGUCUUCAAUAAUCGCAAUUUGUUAAAGUUUAAGUACUAAAGUGUUGGGAUACUCCAUUCAUUGAAUAAUUUGAUUAAGGAUUUACAUCUGAUUUUGAAGAAAACACACCACAAUUUCAAGAACACGUUUGCAAAAAGCAUUCAGUGCCAUUGUAGUACAUUUGGGCUGAGUUUCAAAUUUGUUCUUCAAAGACUUGAAUGCUUCUUAAACUAGUUAAUGAUAGUCAGUGAAGAAUGAAUUCACAUUCUGCCAUAUCUAAGUAUUUUCUCACUUCAGUAUCAGUGUCACCAUGAAGACUGUGUAGUUCAGUAAUCUUAUCUCAUAUAUGUACAUUUCUUUUGGUGUACAUUUUCUUGUUGGUGGUGUUGUGUGUUUUUGUUGUUGUUUGUUUUUGUUUCUUUUCUUUUUUUUGGGGGGGGGGUAUUGAGGAUUGAACCCAAAGGUGCUUAUCACUGAGCCUCAUCCCCACCCUUUUGACUUUAUUUUGAGAUGGGUUGUUGCUAAGUUGCUUAGGGUCCCUCUGAGUUGCUGAGGCUGACCUCAAACUUGCUAUUCUCUUGCUUCAGUCUGCCAGGGAGUGGUUAACAAGCUUGUGACCACACUAGGCCUAUCUGCAUGUAUGUAAAAAAACUUGUGGACUUGGACAACACAGCUUCUAUUUCAAUUGGUAGAACACAAUUGUGCAUUGUUUGUAUGGCAGUGGGUUCCAAGUAAAUUUCUAAUCCAAGGGUUUACUUUAGUAAGAGGAUUGUGUUUUCCACAAUGCUGCACACCACAAAAAUUGGUAAUCAUAUAAUAACUGCAAAAGCAUAUGAUUUAUUCCUCAAUGUUGAACCUGUAACUGAAUUCCCAAGGACAUUCAUAAUAAUUUCAGAUGUUUCACUUACAACAAAAUAAAACCCUAAAAGUUUUACUUUGGACAAAAAUCUUUAACUAUUAUUAUAAUAAAUUGAAUUUUUAUUUCAGUUGCUAUAUGACACUGAUUUGAACUUGGCAUUAGCAUUAAGACAGCACAAUGAGUUCAUCAACAGGACUGCUUGUCUACUUUCUGUACACAUUUUAUGUACACCUAACUUGUACUUUCCAGUCCUUCCCACUUACUCGGUGACUUUGUGAAUCUACAGACAGUGGCACAAACUGAUAUCCCAAGGGUCUUACAGCUUCAGUGUCAUGCGACCUUUCUUCAAUCUCCACGUGAGACAGGAAGGAGCUGUCUGUCCGUGCCAGCCCAUGACUGUUGAGGGCCACAGCCGAGUCGGAGUGGCUCGUGAUUUGUGCCCAGCCAGACUGCGGCACAUGACUAAGCAACCUCAUUUUAACAAUGGUGGCUCUGAGCCGUGCUCCUGAAGAGGAAGCAUUAGCGACAUCACUCUGAAUAAGCUGAGAAGAGAGAAAUGGGUUAUUGCUGAUCUCUCUCUGGCUUUACUGUAUGCUAAAGUGAAGACAGCACUGCCACAAGCCACCCAUUAGCCCCCGAGGUCAGAAGAGAAACUGGGAGUACAAAGUGGCUUUCUACCCUUUUCAGUUUGUUUUAAUGCAAUUGCUAAUAAACACACUCCAUUUAAAAAGGAAAUAUCUGGGACAAACACUGUACACCAAAAGGAUGCUGGGAAUGGAGGUGUAACCUGGGGCUCUUCAGAGCACACCAGUAUAUACAGCACCCUGGCCCCAUCCACUUUUCCUGGAUUUUCCUUGGAUUUAGCUAACUGAUGUUGUAAGUUUCCCAAAUAUCUUUAAAAGGAUACUCUUCUGUCUUUAUUAUUAAAAUAAAACAAUUCGAGUUUUAUUGACUUUGAGUUUAUUUAACUUCUAAUGUAGGAUUUUUAGGAAAGCAUUAUUACAGAAGUUAUGCUUGGCCUUACAUUAAUUAAAAAAAAAAAAAAAGGAAAAGAAAAAUCCAGGCUUCUUUUCGGCUUGCAGGCCUUGUUCAAGGGGCCUCCAACUAGAUCAGGACAUCUCCCUUGCUUUCUCUCAAUUGCAGCCCAUGUUUAUUUCCUUUAUAGCACUUAAUGCUAUUUGUUGCAAUUAUUUGAUUUAUUUGUUGGCUCAUUUAUCUGAUUGCAGGUUCCUCCCAAGAGAAUGUAAGACCCAUGAAAGAAGUGCUUUAUCUGCCCUUUCUACCUUCAUAUCCCCAGAACUGAAGAAAGUAUCUGUCACUAAGCACCCAAUAAAUAUCUAGUGAAUGAAUGACAAGCAUCAAUUAAUAUUAUUUAAGGUGCAAGAUACACAUUGAAGAACUUAUGAACAGGUGGGCCAAGUUUGAUAUCUAUGGAUUGUAAUAUCAUACUUUCUAAAAAUAAGUAUUAUUCUGAUAAUGAUUUCCAUUAUACUUUUAGCAAGCUAGCACCUCUCUGCUACUACAGAGGCACUACCCAGAUCCUCCAAGUCUAAACAUUGGAACAGGGGCCCCUGUCCUGAGUGGCUCUGUGGAUAGAGUACCUUUCAAGGCCUGGAGGGUGGAGGCACAAAGGGACUUGGGGGCAUUUUAAAAGUUCCCUUCAGCUCUAUACCUUUGUAAACCGACCUCAAAUGGAACUGUAGCUUUUGAACAGAUGGUGGAAAUGGCAUUGUUAAAUAUAAGAGUUUGUUGUUUUCAUAAGCUAUCAAACCGCUGAUAACUUUAUCUACAUUAUUUGAUGAACAGGCUCCAUUUUCUCUCAGCAUUUCUGUUCUGUAAACGUCCUGGUUUCUGGAUAAAUUUUCUCAAGCCUUGUAAUACCUUCUGUAAAAUAAAAUGAAAAUCUCCUUGUAUCUUAACAUUUAAAAAGAUAAUACCAAAUCUCAAGGAAAGGAUUUCAAAAAGUUUUACUAGCUAGAAAUGAUCAAUGUUUGAGGAGAUUAGUAAAUAGGCUUAACCUGAUUAAACGUUAUGUAACACACAAAUGUAUAGCAACAUCACGUGGCAUUCCAUUAAUAUGUCCAGUUUUCAUGUUUUAAUGUAUCAGUUAAAAUUAAAUUAAAAUAUAGUUGGGUGCAGUGGUGCAUACCUAUAACCCAGUGGCUCAGGAGGCUGAGGCAGGAGGAUCAUGAGUUCAAAGCCAGCCUCAGCAAUUGAGCCAGGGUCCUAAGCAACUCUGUGAGACCCUGUCUCUAAAUUAAAUAUCAAAGAGGGUUGGGGAUGUGGUUCAGUGGCUAAAUGUCUCUGAGUUCAAUCCCCAGUAUAUAAAAAUAUAUAUAUAAAUAAAAAAUUAAAAUACAAUCCCUUAUCAGGGAGGGGGAGAGAUGGGAAUAAUACUGGGAAUUAAAUGGAAAAAAAAAACUAUGUUAUAUACAUUUACGAGCAUGUCAAAAUGAACCCCACUAUUGUAUAUAACUCAAAUGUACUAAAAAGUAUAUAAAAAGAUAAUUCCUUUAAUUUAGUCUUAUGCAGAAUCUUUUAGUUCCAAUCAGUGCUAUAAUCUUGAGCAAAAUAAUUUGAAGAAUCCUUUGAAUGCAUGAUAUUUUUUUCAGCUACCCAUUGGUAACAAAGGCUUCUUUAUAAAGUACUCCAGGUAUGAUUUUGGCUAAGGGAAGAUGUUCGGUUGGAGAAAGUAGGAAGAGCAGCGAUAAUGUCACAUGGAUAAGGUGCAGCUGUUAGGAAGGAGGCCUUACCUCAAGUCACUCACAGAUCAGUUUCAUUACCACGGUCCUCACGUUUUCAACUCUUAACACGAAUCCUGUGUGCCUCAGUAGCUCAUGCUGAAGGAUUCAUUGAGUAAGUUAUAUACAUAUUCCAUGCUCUGGCAUAUGAUGCAGUAUUAAAUAUCAUACUGCAGAUGAAUAUUUAAUGACAUGAAAAAUCGUGACAUAUUAAGGUGAAAAAACAGAAGUGAAAGUAUACAUACAACAUAAUUCCAUUUCAAAUUUUAAAUGAAGUAUAUUCAUGCAAAGUAAAAAAGACAGGCAAGUUAUACCUUGCAUUAUGAUCUGGGAUAUAUUUGACUACUAUUAUUAGGCUGCCAGGUAAUGCCAAGAUAGCAAAAUGAAUGAUUUCCUCUGAGCAGGGGAUAGAAUAAUCUUUCUUUUUCUCUGCCUUCCGGCUUUUCUCCCUUCUUUCUUUUCUUUCUCUUUAUACCUCUGCUUUCUAAAUCAAACCUAAACACUGAUUUCCUUUCAUGAUUAAAGAACAUUUUAUUUUAUUAUCGGGGUAAGAUUCACUUAACAUAAAAUAAACCAUUUUAACGAGAACAAUUAUGUUCUUUUUAAUGAAUUCCCAGUGUUGUACACCACAUCUGUAUCUAGGUCUAAAACAUGUUUAUCAUCCCAUAUCCAUUCAUCACCAGUCUCUGUUUUCUCCUUCCCCAGCCCCUGGCAACUAUUAAUCUGCUUUCUAUCUCUAUGGAUUUACCUAAUCUGGUUAUUUUCUAUAAACAGAAAUUGACAACAUGUGGCCUUUGUGCCUAAAUUUUCCAAGUUCAUACACAAGAUGUGUUAGCACCCCAUUCCUACAUAACACUGCCUUGCAUAUACCACAAUCCAUCCACUAAUGGGCAUUUGAGGUCUUUCCCAUGUAAAACUUUUAAAAGUCAUUUUGCAGCACUGAGUUUGUUAGAUAAUGAACCUCAAGAUCAAUGAAGAAAGGAGAGUAAGUUAGAAAAAAGACCAAAAUUGGCAAAUUUUUAAAACUUUAUAUUUCUUUAUAUUUCAAAAUAUACACAAACAUGGAAAUAGUAGGGCAGUAUAAAAAAGCCCUCCUAUUCAUGUUUUCCUCUUCUCCAAUUUCUUAUCCAGAAGCUGUUGCCAUAUAUUUAAAUGUAUACUUUGCCUGAACAAAUAUACAUGCAUAUUUGUGGGGGGGUGUGUGUGUGUGUGUGUGCACGUGUGUGUAACUUUUUUCUUUCUUUACAGAAUUAUUGAGACCUAUUAAGCUGCAGUAGCCACAGGGGCAGGUGGCUGGCUAAUGCUGCUGUCUUAAUGCCCCCUGCUCAGAGUGCCCUCUCCUUAGAACCCCUCCCCCUUCCACAUAAGCUACUUGCACUCAAAUCCUUGUUUAAGGUCCCUUCUGAGAACCUACACAAGAUACAAACUUUACCUUAUUUUCAUAAUGCUCUGAAAGGUGGGUGUUACAGACAAUUUAUAGGUGAGGAAACUGAGACUCAAUCAAGUAACUGAGUCCAGGCAGAGAACAGCUAAGAUUUACUCAGGUAAACGCGUGCUAUACUUUGCUUUUUCUUCUUUCCUUCUUUCUUUCAUCUCUCUUCCUUUUUUUCCAGAUUCCUUGCUCAGGGGAGUAACCAGGUUCUAACCUGGCAGUGCAAUCUCUGGGGCAGACUGCUGGUGAGCAAACCCUCAUAGGGGUGGUAAGGAACAAGCCCAGGAGGGGAAGGUGCUCUCCUUCUCAGGAGUACUGGAUUCCUGCUUGCUCACUCCUUCCUGUUUUGUCUUUUCAUAAUAACCUUCACAACUGUGAUAGCAAGGCAAUUCCUCCCCUUUAUUUUAUUUUUUGCAGUGCUGAGGAUCAAACGCAGGGCCUUGGGCAUGCUAGGCAAGCACUCUACCACCCAGCCACAUCCCCAGUCCUUCAUAGUACUUCCUUAAAGACAUCAAAUUUUGUGAGAAUGAAUUUUGUUUUUAAAGUGUGCAAAUUUUGGAAACGCCACUCAAGGUGUUAUUACCAGACCCCCCUCCUUCUAUAUGCAUGUCUUAUCUGUCUCCAAAUAACAUGCUCGCAACCCUUCCUGCUAAAUCAAGUGGCUUGUCAUUUUGCAGUUCUGAAUGGAGUGAGGUAUGACCACCCUGAAAAGCACACGCCUGCUGAUGGAUGGGGAUCCAAGAACACAGCACAGAGAAGCUAGCUUGGCUCCAGUGCCCUGUUCCUUCCUUCCCUCCUCCCUACACACCCAAGGAACACCUGCUCUGGAAGUCUUCCCUGGCAGUGAGUGAGCAGGUGAGUUUAUGCGGCAGGCUGUAGUGGUACUUCUACCAGGGCCUCCUGCACCUUUUCUGCCCAUCUCUGCCUCACACCCCCAGGAGGCUUAGUUGAGCAACUCCUUAGACAUUGGGCAAUAGAUACCAUAAAUAAAAUUUAAUUAUUUCUUUUCACAAUAGUAAUUUUCAUGACUUUUAUAAUCUGAUCUUUUUUUCUAAGAGCCCUCAGAACAUUAGAUGCAUGCAAAUAUGAAGAUGCUGACUCCCUCCAGAGCUCUUUCCCAUGAAGAACACAGGAGGCAAUAUCCUCAGGACAAGAGCCCAAGACACUGGGAUAUGAAUCAACUUCCUCUUGAGUGAGUUCAAGAGUUUGGAACAAUAAACUCAUAUCAUUAAAAUUAAAUAGAUUUAAAUAGCUCAAGCAUAUAUAGUAUUUCCAAUUGGGCCUUUGUCAUCCAAUAUUCCUCCAUAUCUAAAAAGUAUUACACAUAUAUGUUAAUAAUUACAUACAGAAACAUGCAAUGUGCAUACACACACAAAUCCUCUUGACUUGUAAUGGGAUUAUGUCCUAAUAAUCCCACAAUAAGUUGAAAAUAGUAUAAAAUGAAAACACAUUUAAUACCUAUAGCCUACUGAACAUCUUAGUUUAUCAACAUACCACACAGUGGAGUAUUGGUCCUUUACCCUCACAAUACAGUGGCUAACUUGGAAUUGUGACUCAAUACCACCACCAGCAUCAGGAGAGAGUAGCCUACCACAAUUGCUAGCUGGAAAAAAGAUCAAAGGUAUAGUUUGCGGUAUAGUUUCUACUGAAUAUAUAUUGCUUUCCUAUCAUUGUAAAGGCAAAAAUUGCAAGUUGAAGCAUUGUUAAGUCUCAAGUCAGGGACCAUCUGUGUGUGUGUGUGUGUGUGUGUGUGUGUGUAGUUGUCUCUUAGUACACACAGGUAUUGGUUUCUCAAAUACAAAAAAUUCAUAGAUGCUCAAGUCCCUUAUAUACAAUGAUGCAGUAUUUGCAUACAAUGCACACACAUCUUCUAAGUAUAUUUUAAAUCAUCUCUAGAUACUUAUACCACACAAUACAAUGUAAACAAUAUGUAAAUAGUUAUUAUGUUGUAUUGUUUAGGGAAUAAUGACAAGGAAAAAAGUGUACACCUUUAGUACAGGAC